RNAcentral lists this ribosomal RNA (253 nucleotides) under uncultured bacterium. RNAcentral's name for it is "partial 16S ribosomal RNA". It matches the Rfam family "Bacterial small subunit ribosomal RNA", at positions 524 to 776 of the family's 1533-position model. The record is from RNAcentral.
UACGUAGGGUCCAAGCGUUAUCCGGAAUCACUGGGCGUAAAGCGUGCGUAGGUGGCGUGUUAAGUGUGAUGUUAAAUCGUGUGGCUCAACCAUAUCGAUGCAUCACAUACUGGCAUGCUAGAGGACAGCAGAGGCAAGUGGAAUUUGUAGUGUAGCAGUGAAAUGCGUAGAUAUUACAAGGAACACCAAUGGCGAAGGCAGCUUGCUGGGCUACUCCUGACACUGAGGUACGAAAGCGUGGGGAGCGAACAGG